CCUUUUCAAAAUACCUAAAAAAAAAAUUGCAGGAAAGUGUGAAACAGAAAUCUAGACACAAUUAAUUGCGCGACAUUUGUUAGGGGUAAAAGGGGGAAGUCGAGAAAUUUAAAUUGAAUUUUCGUCGGAAAAAAAAUUCAUUUGCUGGCUCCUCCUUGUUGUCGUUUUUUUUUCCCUCCCAAGUCAUUUGUUUGUCUUGGCCAAAGCAUGACUUUAAGGCCAAAUUCGGUCUCUGUUUCAGCUUCAGUUUGUAGCAAAUUGAGUGUCUUUGGGUCUGGAAACCCACUCUGUUUGGCUUUCAAAUUUGCCAUUAUCACCUAUCAUUGGUGCUUUGCCACUGGAUUUGUGGGCCUGUUCAAGUGUGAGGCCAUAAAAAACGAACGGCCAGUGAGAAGGUAGCAUGGCUGUUCCGUUGCCGAAUUUAUUUCUCUUAGUGCAGAAAUCAGAGUUCUUGGUCUCCAGUCCAGCCCCCACUGUCAUUCCCAUGCAGAUUGGCAUCUUUGUAUCUCUGUAUCGGAUCGUGUGUGUUUACCUUGCCACCCACCCACACAUAACAUAUAUAAAACACCCAGGCAGCCACCCAAAUCUAAUACGUUUCCUUGCUUAACUUUUGCCAAUGUCCCGAGCCAUAAAUUUGCGUCGGCAAAUCCUCAUUGUCGUUGUGUGAUUUAAACUUUUUUCCGAGCAAAUGCGAAAAUGCGAAAAGGAGCCUCGGGAUGUGAGCCAAAAAUUGACAAGACGAGACUCGAAAUGGUGGAGCCGAAAAUUGAAAUUAAGGCGGAGAUUUAUGAGGCGGGGGACCUGGAUUUCGCAUUUCGCAUUUCGUAUUUCGAGUGGACCAAAGCCGGGGGUUAAUUGACUCUGGCUCCUCUGGCAUCUGCAAAUGCCCUGCAAGGCAGAAAGGCUCCAAGGAGGCUGACCCACGACCAGAAGUCAGGCCAAAGUUCACAAACAACUGGAGGACUCCAGGGUGCGGGGGAGCGGGAUAGCGGGUGAGCGGCGACAAGUUCAUUGGGAUUGGCACAAUGCUGGAAAACAUCUUGGCCUGCAUGCAGACUCAACGACAGAUUGACAAACAAGCCGCAGUCAGCCAAGCAGCAACAGCAUUUGCCAUUUCCCAUUUGCCGGAGGUGCGAGGUGCGAGUUGCAAGGGGCCAGGCUCCACUGUACCGUCUGCAUUCACAAGACUUUGGCUUUACGGUGGCCCCUACCCGGCGAAUGGUUGCGAGUUUUCGACACCAAAUCUCUGGGUUUGCUGCUCUUAAAACAAAACGCACAAUUCGGUAG
Molecule: long non-coding RNA, 1287 nt
Organism: Drosophila santomea
Lineage: Eukaryota; Metazoa; Arthropoda; Insecta; Diptera; Drosophilidae
Exons: 3
Source: RefSeq, a predicted model, not a curated record